This 637-nucleotide ribosomal RNA is filed under the name uncultured Diaphorobacter sp. RNAcentral describes it as "bacterial SSU rRNA". It matches the Rfam family "Bacterial small subunit ribosomal RNA", at positions 897 to 1533 of the family's 1533-position model. The record is from RNAcentral. Lineage: Bacteria; Pseudomonadati; Pseudomonadota; Betaproteobacteria; Burkholderiales; Comamonadaceae.
AAACUUAAAGGAAUUGACGGGGACCCGCACAAGCGGUGGAUGAUGUGGUUUAAUUCGAUGCAACGCGAAAAACCUUACCCACCUUUGACAUGGCAGGAAGUUUCCAGAGAUGGAUUCGUGCCCGAAAGGGAACCUGCACACAGGUGCUGCAUGGCUGUCGUCAGCUCGUGUCGUGAGAUGUUGGGUUAAGUCCCGCAACGAGCGCAACCCUUGCCAUUAGUUGCUACGAAAGGGCACUCUAAUGGGACUGCCGGUGACAAACCGGAGGAAGGUGGGGAUGACGUCAAGUCCUCAUGGCCCUUAUAGGUGGGGCUACACACGUCAUACAAUGGCUGGUACAGAGGGUUGCCAACCCGCGAGGGGGAGCUAAUCCCAUAAAGCCAGUCGUAGUCCGGAUCGCAGUCUGCAACUCGACUGCGUGAAGUCGGAAUCGCUAGUAAUCGCGGAUCAGAAUGUCGCGGUGAAUACGUUCCCGGGUCUUGUACACACCGCCCGUCACACCAUGGGAGCGGGUUCUGCCAGAAGUAGGUAGCCUAACCGUAAGGAGGGCGCUUACCACGGCAGGGUUCGUGACUGGGGUGAAGUCGUAACAAGGUAGCCGUAUCGGAAGGUGCGGCUGGAUCACCUCCUUUAUGAG